RNAcentral lists this ribosomal RNA (497 nucleotides) under uncultured bacterium. RNAcentral describes it as "partial 16S ribosomal RNA". It matches the Rfam family "Bacterial small subunit ribosomal RNA", at positions 28 to 507 of the family's 1533-position model. The record is from RNAcentral.
GAUGAACGCUGGCGGCGUGCCUAAUACAUGCAAGUCGAGCGAACAGACGAGGAGCUUGCUCCUCUGACGUUAGCGGCGGACGGGUGAGUAACACGUGGAUAACCUACCUAUAAGACUGGGAUAACUUCGGGAAACCGGAGCUAAUACCGGAUAAUAUAUUGAACCGCAUGGUUCAAUAGUGAAAGACGGUUUUGCUGUCACUUAUAGAUGGAUCCGCGCCGCAUUAGCUAGUUGGUAAGGUAACGGCUUACCAAGGCAACGAUGCGUAGCCGACCUGAGAGGGUGAUAGGCCACACUGGAACUGAGACACGGUCCAGACUCCUACGGGAGGCAGCAGUAGGGAAUCGUACGCAAUGGGCGAAAGCCUGACGGAGCAACGCCGCGUGAGUGAUGAAGGUCUUCGGAUCGUAAAACUCUGUUAUUAGGGAAGAACAAAUGUGUAAGUAACUAUGCACGUCUUGACGGUACCUAAUCAGAAAGCCACGGCUAACUACGUG